RNAcentral lists this ribosomal RNA (327 nucleotides) under uncultured bacterium. Its description in RNAcentral is "bacterial SSU rRNA". It matches the Rfam family "Bacterial small subunit ribosomal RNA", at positions 28 to 334 of the family's 1533-position model. The record is from RNAcentral.
GAUGAACGCUGGCGGCGUGCCUAACACAUGCAAGUCGAACGAAGCUUGACGAAUGAUUUUUUCGGAAUGAAUUCUGAUAUGACUUAGUGGCGGACGGGUGAGUAACACGUAAGCAACCUGCCUAUUAGAGGGGAAUAGCAGUGAGAAAUCAUUGCUAAUACCGCAUAUGCUAACAGUAUCGCAUGAUACAGUUAGGAAAGGAGCAAUCCGCUAAUAGAUGGGCUUGCGUCUGAUUAGCUAGUUGGUGGGGUAACGGCCCACCAAGGCAACGAUCGGUAGCCGGACUGAGAGGUUGAACGGCCACAUUGGGACUGAGACACGGCCCAG